RNAcentral lists this ribosomal RNA (254 nucleotides) under uncultured bacterium. RNAcentral describes it as "partial 16S ribosomal RNA". It matches the Rfam family "Bacterial small subunit ribosomal RNA", at positions 524 to 776 of the family's 1533-position model. The record is from RNAcentral.
UACGUAGGGUGCGAGCGUUAAUCGGAAUUACUGGGCGUAAAGCGUGCGCAGGCGGUUCGUUGUGUCGGUGGUGAAAGCCCCGGGCUUAACCUGGGAAUGGCCAUGGAAACUGGCGAACUGGAGUGUGGCAGAGGGGGGUGGAAUUCCGCGUGUAGCAGUGAAAUGCGUAGAGAUGCGGAGGAACACCGAUGGCGAAGGCAGCCCCCCUGGGCUAGCACUGACGCUCAGGCACGAAAGCGUGGGGAGCAAACAGG